GUAGGUGGCAAGCGUUGUCCGGAAUUAUUGGGCGUAAAGCGCGCGCAGGCGGUUCUUUAAGUCUGGUGUGAAAGCCCACGGCUCAACCGUGGAGGGUCAUUGGAAACUGGAGAACUUGAGUACAGAAGAGGAAAGCGGAAUUCCACGUGUAGCGGUGAAAUGCGUAGAGAUGUGGAGGAACACCAGUGGCGAAGGCGGCUUUCUGGUCUGUAACUGACGCUGAGGCGCGAAAGCGUGGGGAGCAAACAGGGAUUAGAUACCCUGGUAGUCCACGCCGUAAACGAUGAGUGCUAAGUGUUAGGGGGUUUCCGCCCCCUUAGUGCUGCAGCUAACGCAUUAAGCACUCCGCCUGGGGAUACGGCCGCAAGGCUG
Molecule: ribosomal RNA, 372 nt
Filed under: uncultured organism
Description: partial 16S ribosomal RNA
Rfam family: Bacterial small subunit ribosomal RNA
Source: RNAcentral